CAUUAGAUGGCUGAAGGCAAGCACUGGUCUCUUAAACCAUUUUAUAGUAUCUUAGCAAAUACUUCUAAUG
Molecule: transfer RNA, 70 nt
Filed under: Conotrachelus sp. KM-2017
Lineage: Eukaryota; Metazoa; Arthropoda; Insecta; Coleoptera; Curculionidae
Description: tRNA-Lys
Source: RNAcentral